This 249-nucleotide ribosomal RNA is filed under the name uncultured Gemmataceae bacterium. RNAcentral describes it as "partial 16S ribosomal RNA". It matches the Rfam family "Bacterial small subunit ribosomal RNA", at positions 355 to 614 of the family's 1533-position model. Lineage: Bacteria; Pseudomonadati; Planctomycetota; Planctomycetia; Gemmatales; Gemmataceae. The record is from RNAcentral.
UCGAGGAUCUUCGGCAAUGGGCGCAAGCCUGACCGAGCGACGCCGCGUGUGCGAUGAAGGCCUUCGGGUUGUAAAGCACUGUCGAGGGGGAGAAAAGGGCAACCUUGAUCGACCCCUGGAGGAAGCACGGGCUAAGGUCGUGCCAGCAGCCGCGGUAAGACGAACCGUGCAAACGUUGUUCGGAAUCACUGGGCUUACAGGGCGCGUAGGCGGGCAAGCAAGUCCGGGGUGAAAGCCCACGGCUCAACC